CUCUGUGAUAAUGUUAUGAAAUGAGUCACUCUUUAACAGGCCCUUUGAUAAUACUAUAAAGUGACUCAUUCUUUAAGAGGGCCUGUGAUAAUGCUAUAAAGUGAGUCACUCUUUAACAGACUCUGUGAUAAUGUUAUGAAAUGAGUCACUCUUUAACAGGCCCUUUGAUAAUACUAUAAAGUGACUCAUUCUUUAAGAGGGCCUGUGAUAAUGCUAUAAAGUGACUCAUUCUUUAAAAGGGCCUGUGAUAAUGUUAUGAAAUGAGUCACUCUUUAACAGGCCCUUUGAUAAUACUAUAAAGUGACUCAUUCUUUAAGAGGGCCUGUGAUAGUGUUAUAAAGUGAGUCACUCUUUAACAGGGUCUAUGAUAGUUCUAUAAAUUGACUCACUUCUGACUGGUCUCUCUGUUUGUGCUGGAAUCCAUUUUCCCGCCAAUUUUAACCAAGUGUUUGUCAUUUGAAUUGCCCUUGCCUCUCUUCAGCAGCAGCCUCCUUGAGUCGCUGAGUAUGAAGGUCAUUCUUGCUUAGGCAGUGGAUCUGUCCAGGUGUUCAUACAUCCAUCUCUCCUCUGUCACUGACUGGGUAGCGAUAGUCAUGCUGUUUGUGAAAGGUCGUGUCAGUGGUUGACAAACUUUGGAUUUUAUCGUAGAUUCUCUGCGUGGUCUUUCUGCAGGGUCCACAAGGGCGUAGGUGGGAGCCUUGAUGGACACUGUGCAGCUCAUAACUGUCCACCCCCAGCUUCUGCUGUUUAGUAGUACAGUCUCACAGUGUUACCCUCAUUCUGAAUGAAUCAAAUUAGCUCUAUAGGCUAAAAUUAAAUUAAAAUACAAAAUAAUUUAAAUAAAGAAAUAAUAAAAACCAUAAAACAAAUCAUAAACCUUUAAUAAAAUAAUUUCUAAAUAAAAAUAGUCAUUUAUUAAUAAUGAUAAUAAUAAUUUAAAAUACUAAAUAGGAACCUAAAAUAGACAAAUAAAUAGAAAAAAAUAGACAAAAAAAUAAAUAGUUCAGGGUGAGGGUUAUAGUGUGUGACUGGACUACCAGAGGAUGGGGUGGACACAGUUACGGGCUACACAGUGUCCAUCAUAGCCUCCAUCUACAUCCUAUUGGACUCUGCAGAAUGGCCAAGCUGAGGACCUACGGCAAAAUCCAAUGUGCGGCAGCCACCAACAUCAACCUUCACAGAUGGCAUAACCGUCACUACACAGUCAGUGAUAUAGGGGAGAUGGAUGCUUGAGGGCCUGGACAGAUCUAUUACCUGAACAAGGGUGAUCCUCAAGCCUAGCAGUCUGAGGAUGCUGGUACUGAACAAAGGUAACAGCAAGGUGCAUGAUGACAUUUGGCUUGAAGUGGUUGGAGAGUGGAUUCCUUCUCAGACAGAGGAGCCAGUCGGGGAAGUGGUUUAGCAGCUCACUCUGUGGCAGUGUGUGUGAGAGGGUAACACACCGCACGCAUGUCUGGGUUAUAGUGGGUGGAGAAGGGUGGUACGUAACCCAAGGCCUAGUACUCUCAGCACAUGGUCCUGUCCAAGCUCAUCUACCCCCCUUCCAGUGUAUGAACUCCUAGUAUCAGCAGCAGGACCAGAGGACAGGAACGUCGGGGUCUGACCUCUUCAGGUAGUUCAGAGCUUUCCAAAGCCUCGGUAGAAUUAACCUGUACAGCAGAAGGAGCAACAACAGCAGCUGCCACACAGAGAAGACAACUGUGGAGUGCGAGCCUGUUAAAGCAAGAUGGCUCCUCCUGCUCGGUAACUGUAACUGCUAAGUGAUGUCAGCAGCGGUCAAAGUUCACCUGGGCUCAAGAUGUCCGCCAGAAGCGGUGGGAGGGCACCGGGAGCAGCCACACAGCCCAGGCCGGGCCGGAUCAACCCCGACCUGUGCGUCCUUUCCGACGCUGCUGCUGAUUGGACCAGACGUUCACCUGAGGAUAGAGCCAGGAGCACCAGGAGCCGCUGUUUUUUUUACCUGCAGGAAUGAAAAUAAAUUAUCGAGAGUGCACGGAGAGGAGCAUUAUUUACGCUGUUCUAUAACCCAGCACCAGUCUUUAUCUUUCCACGAGAAGUUAUGGAUACACGGCUGAGUAUUAAAUGGAGCGAUGACAACAUUGUCUGGAUAGGCAAUGAAAAAGCAGGAGGGAUUAUUUGGCUGCUGAGGGACAAUGCAAACCGACAGAAUGAAGCCCCCCCCCUUCCCAAGUCUUGGAGACAUCGGUCCCUGGAGGAAAAGGCCCUGUGCUGAUCACCUGAAGCAGAUCGUCUCCUCCAUUGUCCUGUGGGCGCUCCUGGGUGAUGAAGGUCAUCAGCUCCUGCACGCACUGUUGCCUGGCUGAGGAAGAGGAGCAGCCUGCGGUUGUGAGCCUUGCCUCUUCCUCCUCCUCCUCCAUCGGCUCCCUCAAGGACACCUCCAGGGUCGGGGUCAGGAUCAGAGAAGACGGGAGAGAACAGUCACAGCGUCGGCACAGCCAGGGCGGGACUGUUGAUGCUAGGGUUUUGUUCACCAGAAGGGGCGGGGGGAGCUUGGGGAGGACCAUGUGCUGACAGGUUCUUAAUCAGGUCCUAUGAUAAUGUUAUGAAUCGGGUCAUAAAGUGAGUGAGUCACUCAUUUAAUCAGACCCUGUGAUAGUGUUAAGUGAGUGAGUGACUUUUUAACAGGCUCUGCAAUAGUGUUAUGAAUCGAGUCACUCUUUAACUGACCCUGUGAUAGUGUUAUAAAGUGAGUGAGUCACUCUUUAACAGGCUCUGUGAUAGUGCUAUAAAGUGAGUGAGUCACUCUUUAACCGGACCUCUGAUAGCGCUAUAAAGUGAGUCACUCUUGAACAGGCCUUUUGAUAUUGUUAUAAAGUGAGUGAGUCAUUAUUUAACGGGCCCUUUGAUAGCGCUAUAAAGUGAGUGAGUCAUUCUUUAACAGGGCCUGUGAUAUUGUUAUAAAGUGAGUGACUCUUUAACAGAGCCUUUAAUCGUAAUAUAAAGUGAGUCACUCUUGAACAGGCCUUUUAAUAUUGUUAUAAAGUGAGUGAGUCAUUCUUUAACAGGGCCUGUGAUAUUGUUAUAAAGUGAGUCACUCUUUAACAGAGCCUUUAAUCGUAAUAUAAAGUGAGUCACUCUUGAACAGGCCCUUUGAUAUUGUUAUAAAGUGAGUGAGUCAUCUUUGACAGGGUCUGUGAUAGUGAUAUAAAGUGAGUCACUCUUUAACAGGGUCUAUGAUAGUUCUAUGAAGUGACUCACUUCUGACUGGUCUCUCUGUUUGUGCUGGAAUCCAUUUUCCCAUCACUUUGAACCAAGUGUUUGUCAUUUGAAUUGCCCUUGCCUCUCUCAAGCAACAGCCUCCUGGAGUUUGAAGGUAACUUAUAAAUCCAGUCACUCUAACUGACCCUGUUAUAUUGCUAUAAAGUGAGUCACUCUUUAACAGACCCUUUGAUAAUGCUAUAAAGUGACUCAU
Molecule: long non-coding RNA, 3433 nt
Organism: Anguilla rostrata (American eel)
Lineage: Eukaryota; Metazoa; Chordata; Actinopteri; Anguilliformes; Anguillidae
Exons: 5
Source: RefSeq, a predicted model, not a curated record